UACGGGGGGGGGCAAGCGUUGUUCGGAAUUACUGGGCGUAAAGGGUUUGUAGGUGGCCGGCUAAGUCAGACGUGAAAUCCCUCAGCUUAACUGGGGAACUGCGUCUGAAACUGAUCGGCUCGAGUGCAGGAGAGGAACGCGGAAUUCCAGGUGUAGCGGUGAAAUGCGUAGAUAUCUGGAGGAACACCGGUGGCGAAGGCGGCGUUCUGGACUGCAACUGACACUGUAAAACGAAAGCCAGGGGAGCAAACGGG
RNAcentral lists this ribosomal RNA (254 nucleotides) under uncultured bacterium. Its description in RNAcentral is "partial 16S ribosomal RNA". It matches the Rfam family "Bacterial small subunit ribosomal RNA", at positions 524 to 776 of the family's 1533-position model. The record is from RNAcentral.